AAUCAAAAUCAAGUUCUUUCUGUUAUAAGAAUUACGUUAAUAGCAGAAGAAUUAUCUUGUUGUUCGAUAUAUCUUAUCGCAAUUUCAUGCACCUUCCAUCCAAAUGAUCUAUUCUCUUUUUCAUUUUCGUCUCUGCUGACAGCUGGGUGAAAAUGUGGUCAAUUAAAACCAGACAGGAUAAGAGGAAGUACCUUCUAAAUAGAAUUAUUCAAAAUUUCCAAAAACUAAAUCAAAACUGAUUAUUUGAAAAUUUUUGUUAAGACCAAAUUAAAUUAGAUGCAAUAUUAUCACAAAUAUGAUAAUUUUAUACAAUAAAAGUCUUCUGUAAAGUUUAACCAAUAACUUCUUUUAAUUGAGAGAGAUUUUUUACAGUCCGAUAAUAUUUAAAUUGGGAGGAGAAAUUCUUUGUGAUUUCUUUUUCAAAUAAAAUUUUUCUUAGUUUUAGAGUAUGAACCAGGACAAUCUCAAUCCCGAUUUCAUUGAUCUUGUUUUUUUCUGUUAUGCACUCUUAUUUUCAAGAUUCUUCUAUUUUAUUAUUUUUUUUUCUGAUGUCAGGUUGCUUGUGUUCCAUAGUUUGGCGUAUAUCUUCCUGAUUUUUUUUUAUUGUUUCGUAGAUUACUGCCAAAAUUUGCUGUCUCGCAUAGAUCCAAACACCUACAGUCUCCACUCUCUCGAAUCCUAGGGCUGAUUCGUCUGGCCACAGUCCUAGGCAAAGCUUCCUGACCCUGUUCUUCACCUUUUUCUGGAAGUACAGAUUGGCUUUCCUCAUUUAUUGUUUUUAAAAGAAGCGAUUAUGUGUUUUUCCCCCAUUGUGAGGAAUAGUGGACUUAGUUCAUUAUACAUGAUAUAUAUUUUUACAAUUCAAUCAUUUCUUCUUUGCAGAUGUGGCUUUCCCCUUCGUAUUUUUUUUCUAUAUUUAAUUCUUUAUUUUACAAAUCAUUAAUUUUAGAUAAAGGAAGACCAUUC
Molecule: long non-coding RNA, 966 nt
Filed under: Androctonus crassicauda
Lineage: Eukaryota; Metazoa; Arthropoda; Arachnida; Scorpiones; Buthidae
Source: RNAcentral